This 424-nucleotide ribosomal RNA is filed under the name uncultured eukaryote. Its description in RNAcentral is "bacterial SSU rRNA". It matches the Rfam family "Eukaryotic small subunit ribosomal RNA", at positions 592 to 1018 of the family's 1831-position model. The record is from RNAcentral.
CAAUAGCGUAUAUUUAAGUUUGUUGCAGUUAAAAAGACUCGUAGUCGGAUUUCGGGCGGGUGCCGGCCGGUCCGCCGUUUCGGUGUGCACUGGCUGGCGCCGUCUUCUUGCCGAGGACGCGCUCCUGGCCUUAACUGGCUGGGACGCGGAGUCGGCGCCGUUACUUUGAAAAAUUAGAGUGUUCAAAGCGGGCUUACGCUUGAAUAUAUUAGCAUGGAAUAACACCAUAGGACUCCUGUCCUAUUCUGUUGGUCUUCGGGACGGGAGUAAUGAUUAAGAGGAACAGUUGGGGGCGAUUCGUAUUUCAUUGUCAGAGGUGAAAUUCUUGGAUUUAUGAAAGACGAACUUCUGCGAAAGCAUUUGCCAAGGAUGUUUUCAUUGAUCAAGAACGAAAGUUGGGGGCUCGAAGACGAUCAGAUACCGU